GCUUGAAAUGUGUGUCAUGGCAUUAUCAGUUUACGAGUAAAUAAAAAAAUUCUGAAAAAUAUUUAUUGAGGAAUUGAAGAUGACAAUGCUAAAAAAAAUUAAAUCGGUUGACUUCUAUGAAAACUAAGUACUGUUCAGUUUUUAAUUAUUUCUGUAUAUGAAUUUUAUUUGUUUCCUAUAUUUUGAAUACAUAAUGUUCCUGAUGAAAAAAAGUUAAUCAUUGAUUUUCGACAGAGCGAUUGAGUUGAGCAGGGACAAUGAUGAUCAACACCAAAUGAGAAAAAAAAAAUAAGAAAGAAGAAAGUGAAAGACAACUGGAUAUCUUAUACAACCAAUUGGAGAAAGAAUAAAAGUAGCAAAGUAUCAACAGAAGAUUUGAUGGCAUGAUCAAUUCAAAAUCUAUAAGAAAGUGGCAAUCGAAGAUCAUCUAAAAUGGAGAAAAACUAACAAAGUAUAAAUAGACGAUUUUAGAUCAUAAGCGGAUUGACCAAUAGCCGAAAGGUGAUAAAUAUAUACCUAAUAUUGAUAAAAAGUAAAUCAACAAAAAGUAACAACAAAAAAUCGUUAUAGAAAUUGCAAUUGAAUAUUUGACAUCAUCAGAAGAUCCAAAAAUGAAAUAAAAAAAAUUAAAGAUCUGACAUAAACACAGAAUGAGCAAGUGAUAUCGUAGAUGCAACUCAGUACAAAAAAAUGCAUAGUAAAGAUGUGACUAGUGAAGAUCGGACAUCAUCAGUAGAUAGAGAAAAUCAUUACGUUAUGAAAAAACCCGAAGUUCUGGAAUCAACACAAGAUGAUAAAGGUGGAUAGAGAUUAACGAAUAUCUUUUAGAUACAAUGGAGAAAAACAAAAUGUAAUUCGGGAAAACCUAAAAGUAAUAAAGCCCCGGUC
This 888-nucleotide long non-coding RNA is filed under the name Mytilus galloprovincialis (Mediterranean mussel). Lineage: Eukaryota; Metazoa; Mollusca; Bivalvia; Mytilida; Mytilidae. The record is from RNAcentral.